UACGUAGGGUGCAAGCGUUUGUCCGGAAUUAUUGGGCGUAAAGAGCUCGUAGGCGGCUUGUCGCGUCGGCUGUGAAAACCUGGGGCUCAACCCCGGGCCUGCAGCCGGUACGGGCAAGCUAGAAUUCGGUAGGGGAGACUGGAAUUCCUGGUGUAGCGGUGAAAUGCGCAGAUAUCAGGAGGAACACCGAUGGCGAAGGCAGGUCUCUGGGCUGUAACUGACGCUGAGGAGCGAAAGCGUGGGGAGCGAACAGG
This 254-nucleotide ribosomal RNA is filed under the name uncultured bacterium. RNAcentral's name for it is "partial 16S ribosomal RNA". It matches the Rfam family "Bacterial small subunit ribosomal RNA", at positions 524 to 776 of the family's 1533-position model. The record is from RNAcentral.